GACGAACCGUGCGAACGUUGUUCGGAAUCACUGGGCUUAAAGGGCGCGUAGGCGGGCUCACAAGUCAGGGGUGAAAUCCCACGGCUCAACCGUGGAAGUGCCUUUGAUACUGUGGGUCUUGAGGGAGGUAGGGGCGUGCGGAACUUCCGGUGGAGCGGUGAAAUGCGUAGAUAUCGGAAGGAACACCGGUGGCGAAAGCGGCUCGCUGGACCUCUACUGACGCUGAGAAGCGAAAGCAUGGGGAGCGAAAAGG
Molecule: ribosomal RNA, 253 nt
Filed under: uncultured bacterium
Lineage: Bacteria
Description: partial 16S ribosomal RNA
Rfam family: Bacterial small subunit ribosomal RNA
Source: RNAcentral